RNAcentral lists this ribosomal RNA (209 nucleotides) under Paenibacillus taichungensis. RNAcentral describes it as "partial 16S ribosomal RNA". It matches the Rfam family "Bacterial small subunit ribosomal RNA", at positions 73 to 272 of the family's 1533-position model. The record is from RNAcentral. Lineage: Bacteria; Bacillati; Bacillota; Bacilli; Caryophanales; Paenibacillaceae.
GAGAAGCUUGCUUCUCUGAUGGUUAGCGGCGGACGGGUGAGUAACACGUAGGCAACCUGCCCUCAAGUUUGGGACAACUACCGGAAACGGUAGCUAAUACCGAAUAGUUGUUUUCUUCUCCUGAAGAGAACUGGAAAGACGGAGCAAUCUGUCACUUGGGGAUGGGCCUGCGGCGCAUUAGCUAGUUGGUGGGGUAACGGCUCACCAAG